GAACGCACCUUGCGCUCCUUGGUAUUCCGAGGAGCAUGCCUGUUUGAGUGUCAUUAAAUUCUCAACCUCACCAGUUUUGUUAUGAAACUGUGUAAGGCUUGGAUGUGGGGGUUUGUGCAGGUUGCCUUUGCGCGGUCUGCUCCCCUAAAAUGUAUUAGCGAGUUCACUGAGCUCCGUCUAUUGGUGUGAUAAUUAUCUACGCCGUGGAUUGGACUUAGACUUGCUUCUAACCGUCCGCAAGGACAAUCUUAUGACAAUUUGACCUCAAAUCAGGUAGGACUACCCGCUGAACUUAAG
RNAcentral lists this unclassified non-coding RNA (297 nucleotides) under Psathyrella potteri. Its description in RNAcentral is "sequence contains 5.8S rRNA gene". The stretch from base 1 to 53 matches the Rfam family "5.8S ribosomal RNA", at positions 102 to 154 of the family's 154-position model. RNAcentral also lists the same sequence under 1 other name. The record is from RNAcentral. Lineage: Eukaryota; Fungi; Basidiomycota; Agaricomycetes; Agaricales; Psathyrellaceae.